RNAcentral lists this ribosomal RNA (372 nucleotides) under uncultured organism. Its description in RNAcentral is "partial 16S ribosomal RNA". It matches the Rfam family "Bacterial small subunit ribosomal RNA", at positions 527 to 896 of the family's 1533-position model. The record is from RNAcentral.
GUAGGUGGCAAGCGUUGUCCGGAAUUAUUGGGCGUAAAGCGCGCGCAGGCGGUUCUUUAAGUCUGAUGUGAAAGCCCACGGGCUCAACCGUGGAGGGUCAUUGGAAACUGGGGAACUUGAGUACAGAAGAGGAAAGCGGAAUUCCACGUGUAGCGGUGAAAUGCGUAGAGAUGUGGAGGAACACCAGUGGCGAAGGCGGCUUUCUGGUCUGUAACUGACGCUGAGGCGCGAAAGCGUGGGAGCAAACAGGAUUAGAUACCCUGGUAGUCCACGCCGUAAACGAUGAGUGCUAAGUGUUAGGGGGUUUCCGCCCCUUAGUGCUGCAGCUAACGCAUUAAGCACUCCGCCUGGGGAGUACGGCCGCAAAGGCUG